Molecule: ribosomal RNA, 265 nt
Filed under: Lelliottia amnigena
Lineage: Bacteria; Pseudomonadati; Pseudomonadota; Gammaproteobacteria; Enterobacterales; Enterobacteriaceae
Description: partial 16S ribosomal RNA
Rfam family: Bacterial small subunit ribosomal RNA (bases 1-219)
Source: RNAcentral
CCAUCGGUUCGGCGGGAACUCAAAGGAGAACUGCCAGUGAUAAACCUGGAGGAAGGUGGGGAUGACGUACAAGUCAUUCAUGGCCCUUACCGAGUAGGGCUAGCACACGUGAUAUCAAUGGCAUAUACCAAAGAGAGCGACCUCGACGAGAGCAAGCGGACCUCACAAACGUAUGUCGUAGUCCGGAUCGGAGUCUGCAACUCGACUCCGUGAAGUCGGGAAAUCGACUAGUAAGUCGUAGAUCAAGAAUGCUAAAGGUGAGGUA